UCCUGGUAAAAUGGUUAUAAAUUCAUCCUGACUCACACUUUUUUUCCAGAAUGAAUUUAUAAAAUGAUGAACUCUCACUUCCUAAAUUUUCUGCAGAUGCCACUGUUGCUGGAGAAAUGUCACUGCUAGAGAAUAGAAGACUAUUAUUCCAAAGGGUAUUUGAGACUGACUGAAUCAGGUUUGGAACAUUAUUGAAAUGAGACCCACAAAGGAAGAGAUACUGAGGCCUAACUCUACCAAGAGGAGCAAAAACUGGACACUGUGUAACUUCGCAGAAUUAGCAACACGGACCCGUUACACAUGGCAGCACUGUGCAGUGGUUGGAAGUGCAGCCUUCAAAGCCAACUGCUUGGAUUUGGAAUCUUGCUCUUCCAUUUACAAGCUCUGCAACCUCAGGUAAGUCACUUAUCUUCUCUGUGCCUAUGUCUUCAUCUUUAAGAAGGAAAGUAACAAUAGCUACCUUAUUGUUAU
RNAcentral lists this long non-coding RNA (471 nucleotides) under Gorilla gorilla gorilla (western lowland gorilla). RNAcentral's name for it is "lncRNA (ENSGGOG00000044647.1)". Lineage: Eukaryota; Metazoa; Chordata; Mammalia; Primates; Hominidae. The record is from RNAcentral.